UACGUAGGUGGCGAACGUUGUCCGGAUUUACUGGGCGUAAAGAGCCCGCAGGCGGCCAUGCAAGUUCUGGGUGAAAUCUCCCGGCUCAACCGGGAGGGGUCCUGGAAAACUGCAUGGCUCGAGGCUGGGAGAGGGAUGCGGAAUUCCGAGUGUAGCGGUGAAAUGCGUAGAUAUUCGGAGGAACACCAGAGGCGAAGGCGGCAUCCUGGCCCAGUCCUGACGCUCAGGGGCGAAAGCGUGGGGAGCAAACCGG
This 253-nucleotide ribosomal RNA is filed under the name uncultured bacterium. Its description in RNAcentral is "partial 16S ribosomal RNA". It matches the Rfam family "Bacterial small subunit ribosomal RNA", at positions 524 to 776 of the family's 1533-position model. The record is from RNAcentral.